RNAcentral lists this ribosomal RNA (206 nucleotides) under uncultured bacterium. RNAcentral describes it as "partial 16S ribosomal RNA". It matches the Rfam family "Bacterial small subunit ribosomal RNA", at positions 568 to 774 of the family's 1533-position model. The record is from RNAcentral.
CGUGUAGGCGGGUCUUUAAGUCAGGGGUGAAAUCCUGGAGCUCAACUCCAGAACUGCCUUUGAUACUGAAGAUCUUGAGUUCGGGAGAGGUGAGUGGAACUGCGAGUGUAGAGGUGAAAUUCGUAGAUAUUCGCAAGAACACCAGUGGCGAAGGCGGCUCACUGGCCCGAUACUGACGCUGAGGCACGAAAGCUGGGGAGCAAACA